Molecule: long non-coding RNA, 1222 nt
Organism: Stegodyphus dumicola
Lineage: Eukaryota; Metazoa; Arthropoda; Arachnida; Araneae; Eresidae
Source: RefSeq, a predicted model, not a curated record
GAUAAACGUUACUAGCAUUCCUCCUUUCACUUUUAGGGAUAGAUGUGUGUUUAGAGUACAAACAAAAAGUUGACGAAGAAGUUUUUGAAGUUCAAGGCACAAAAAAUCAACCAAAUACCCAAGGACCAAAAUAUGGGAGAGAAAAUAUAAAGCAAAAGUUACUCCCACUGUUCCAUGGAUUCUUCUUUUAUUUACAUGGGCAGUUCACUAAACCAACACCAGAACGAGAUGAUUUAUGCAGCCUUAUUCACGUAGGAGGUGGGAAAGUUCUUGCAAGAGAACCACGACCAGAAACUGUUUCAUCCAAACCUCAUAUGAUACCUUAUCAUGCUGCUAAUACAUCAAUGGAAGAUAUCAGUCAUAUUAUCCUUUAUCAAGAAAAACCACCUCGGGAGAGCCAUGUCCACUCUAGUCACAUUUGCACAGCACAAGUUAUGUGGUUAAUUGAAUGCAUUAGCACAUUUAAGAUAUUAGAUCCUCAGAUAAUUGAAAAAGCUAGGGGAAAAUAAACUUAUAAUGGAUAUAAAAAUGAUACUAAUAUAAAUAAAAUAAACAUUUUUCUCAAAAGAACUCUACAUGCAUACAGUUUUGUACUCUGAAGUGUAUUGUAAGUAAGCAUAAUAAUUUUACAUACUUAUUCCUUUUUAAUAAACUGCAUAUUUUUUGUCAAGUGCUAUAAUAAUGUAUAAAAAAUGUUACAGUGGUGAGUUUUAUUAAUGAUAUAUAUUCUUUAAAUGGUGAUGCCCAAAAUUACAAUCUGAAAGUCAUUGUUUGUCUUAAACUGAUACAGUCGUACCUCAGUAGUAUGCUUUGAAAUACUUCAACUUGGUGCAUAUCCUGUUCGAACAUGAAAUUUUUAUUUGAAACAUGAGUCUUGACCACAUAUUACACUUGAUUACCUCUUCUGAGAUAAUGGUACAACUGAUUAUGAACAUCAGCAUGGAUUUUCUGUAUCUAAAUUCUUUCAGAUUGAGUUUUUAAGAAAGUUAAUGAGAAGAAUUAAGCAAUGAUGAAAAUUGUUAGGAUCAUCAUGCAGGUGAAAAAAGAGAGUAGCAAGAAGACGAAUUUGUAUCUGGGACUUAUUAUUGCUGCACACCUAUUGCAUACCAUAUGCCAAGUACAAUUGUGAAAAACAAAGAUGCUAAUAAAUCUGCUAAUUUUGCGAAGGAGAUGAAAUAGAUUACCAAAUAAAGAAUAAAAAUGUUAGAAGUAUGUUGAAAAA